CACCCCCCAUCUCUGGAAAUGAGAGACCAGCGUUUCAAAGCCGCAAAAGCCGCGACAGAUUUGGCGGGGAGAUGAAUGCAAGAGUGAAAUCUAGGGCGAAUGAACAUCUGGCCUCUUUGGGGUGAAAGGCGUAUCGCACCAGAACCCAUUUUUUGGGGUCAGACUGCAACAUGAAGCUCCGUGCACGGACCCCCCAGGGUGCAGACCAUGACGGAUGUGUUUAGGUGCUGUGACAGCGUGAGGCCCGCCGCCUCCCACACUGACAACAUCACACGCGUUAAGUGACCAUUCGCUGCCUGAUCAUCCCCCCCUCCCCCCC
This is a long non-coding RNA of Gasterosteus aculeatus aculeatus (three-spined stickleback), 319 nucleotides long. NCBI's taxonomy places the organism in Eukaryota, Metazoa, Chordata, Actinopteri, Perciformes, Gasterosteidae. The record is from Ensembl.